Molecule: ribosomal RNA, 497 nt
Filed under: uncultured bacterium
Lineage: Bacteria
Description: partial 16S ribosomal RNA
Rfam family: Bacterial small subunit ribosomal RNA
Source: RNAcentral
GAUGAACGCUGGCGGCGUGCCUAAUACAUGCAAGUCGAGCGAACAGACGAGGAGCUUGCUCCUCUGACGUUAGCGGCGGACGGGUGAGUAACACGUGGAUAACCUACCUAUAAGACUGGGAUAACUUCGGGAAACCGGAGCUAAUACCGGAUAAUAUAUUGAACCGCAUGGUUCAAUAGUGAAAGACGGUUUUGCUGUCACUUAUAGAUGGAUCCGCGCCGCAUUAGCUAGUUGGUAAGGUAACGGCCCACCAAGGCGACGAUCCGUAGCUGACCUGAGAGGAUGAUCAGCGACACUGGAACUGAGACACGGUCCAGACUCCUAAGGGAGGCAGCAGUGGGGAAUAUUGGACAAUGGGCGCAAGCCUGAUACAGACAUACAGCGUGAGUGAAGAAGGCCUUCGGGUUGUAAAACCCUUUUGUUGGGAAAGAAAAGCAACAGGUUAAUACCCCGCUGUUCGAACGGUACCCAAAUAAUAAGCACCGGCUAACUUCGUG